RNAcentral lists this ribosomal RNA (746 nucleotides) under Escherichia coli. Its description in RNAcentral is "partial 23S ribosomal RNA". It matches the Rfam family "Bacterial large subunit ribosomal RNA", at positions 165 to 951 of the family's 2925-position model. The record is from RNAcentral. Lineage: Bacteria; Pseudomonadati; Pseudomonadota; Gammaproteobacteria; Enterobacterales; Enterobacteriaceae.
CAUAGGUUAAUGAGGCGAACCGGGGGAACUGAAACAUCUAAGUACCCCGAGGAAAAGAAAUCAACCGAGAUUCCCCCAGUAGCGGCGAGCGAACGGGGAGCAGCCCAGAGCCUGAAUCAGUGUGUGUGUUAGUGGAAGCGUCUGGAAAGGCGCGCGAUACAGGGUGACAGCCCCGUACACAAAAAUGCACAUACUGUGAGCUCGAUGAGUAGGGCGGGACACGUGGUAUCCUGUCUGAAUAUGGGGGGACCAUCCUCCAAGGCUAAAUACUCCUGACUGACCGAUAGUGAACCAGUACCGUGAGGGAAAGGCGAAAAGAACCCCGGCGAGGGGAGUGAAAAAGAACCUGAAACCGUGUACGUACAAGCAGUGGGAGCACGCUUAGGCGUGUGACUGCGUACCUUUUGUAUAAUGGGUCAGCGACUUAUAUUCUGUAGCAAGGUUAACCGAAUAGGGGAGCCGAAGGGAAACCGAGUCUUAACUGGGCGUUAAGUUGCAGGGUAUAGACCCGAAACCCGGUGAUCUAGCCAUGGGCAGGUUGAAGGUUGGGUAACACUAACUGGAGGACCGAACCGACUAAUGUUGAAAAAUUAGCGGAUGACUUGUGGCUGGGGGUGAAAGGCCAAUCAAACCGGGAGAUAGCUGGUUCUCCCCGAAAGCUAUUUAGGUAGCGCCUCGUGAAUUCAUCUCCGGGGGUAGAGCACUGUUUCGGCAAGGGGGUCAUCCCGACUUACCAACCCGAUGCA